CCAGACUCCUACGGGAGGCAGCAGUGAGGAAUAUUGGUCAAUGGCCGAGAGGCUGAACCAGCCAAGUCGCGUGAGGGAAGACGGCCCUACGGGUUGUAAACCUCUUUUGUCGGGGAGCAAAGCGAACCACGUGUGGUUCAUUGAGAGUACCCGAAGAAAAAGCAUCGGCUAACUCCGUGCCAGCAGCCGCAGUAAUACGGAGGAUGCGAGCGUUAUCCGGAUUUAUUGGGUUUAAAGGGUGCGUAGGCGGAAUAUCAAGUCAGCGGUAAAAUCGAGGGGCUCAACCCCUUUAAGCCGUUGAAACUGGUGAUCUUGAGUGGGCGAGAAGUAUGCGGAAUGCGUGGUGUAGCGGUGAAAUGCUUAGAUAUUGCGCAGAACUCCGAUUGCGAAGGCAGCAUACCGGCGGCGAUCUGACGCUGAGGCACGAAAGCGUGGGUAUCGAACAGGAUUAGAUACCCGGGUA
RNAcentral lists this ribosomal RNA (463 nucleotides) under uncultured bacterium. RNAcentral's name for it is "bacterial SSU rRNA". It matches the Rfam family "Bacterial small subunit ribosomal RNA", at positions 331 to 792 of the family's 1533-position model. The record is from RNAcentral.